UAAUACGUAGGGGGCGAGCGUUGUCCGAAGUUACUGGGCGUAAAGCGCGCGUAGGCGGGUUUUUAAGGCUGGUGUGAAAGGUUCAGGGCUCAACCCGAACAGGGCACUGGCGACUGGGAGCCUGGAGUGGGGGAGAGGGAGGCGGAAUUCCGGGUGUAGCGGUGAAAUGCGUAGAUAUCCGGAGGAACACCGAUGGCGAAGGCAGCCUCCUGGCCUCUGACUGACGCUGAGGCGCGAAAGCGUGGGGAGCAAACGGGAUUAGAUACCCCGGUAGUCCACGCCGUAAACGAUGAGUGCUAGGUGUCCGGGGUAUCGACCCCCCGGGUGCCGCAGCUAACGCAUUAAGCACUCCGCCUGGGGAGUACGGCCGCAAGGUUG
RNAcentral lists this ribosomal RNA (378 nucleotides) under uncultured bacterium. RNAcentral describes it as "bacterial SSU rRNA". It matches the Rfam family "Bacterial small subunit ribosomal RNA", at positions 521 to 896 of the family's 1533-position model. The record is from RNAcentral.